Molecule: transfer RNA, 61 nt
Filed under: Tenebrionoidea sp. 1 KM-2017
Lineage: Eukaryota; Metazoa; Arthropoda; Insecta; Coleoptera
Description: tRNA-Arg
Source: RNAcentral
AAUAAGAAGCAAUUUGAUGCAUUUAGUUUCGACCUAAAAAUAAGACUUAUAGUCCUUAUUU